AACAGGUUUACUGGAGUAAGAACAAAGGUUACAACACACGUUCAGUUCCAGGACGCGAUCUCAAUCGGUGACUUUUGUGGUGAGCAAGCUGCCAAGGUAUAGUUUGUAACAAUAAAGGCGAAGUUACUUCAGGAAAACCUACUGGUUCAAAUUGAACGAUGCUAUUGUGAGUACUAUUAAUAAAACAAAUCCAUUCUCAUUCCUGAGCAAUCUUCAUCAUACUUCUUUUCACUAUUUACAAUAUGGGCAGAUAGAAAAAUCGAUAGAAAAAUAUAACUACAGGAUUUAAGAAUGAUAACCAAUAUUUUUACAAUAAUAUUUUGAUAAAAGUCAGUUUUACCAGGGAAUUUGUGACAGGCUAAUUGAACAAAAAAAUUGAAAACGGUCGAGUAGUUAAAAAUUUCUCCAGUGGUCUGGAGAAAAGAGAACGAGCGAUACAGAAAGCUCUAGAAAGAGUUUAAAUAAAAAAAACACAGAUAUUUUAAUGUGUUUCUUCAUACUAACGAAAAUAAUAUGCUAUUGGUAAAUUAGAUCGUUGAUGGCUUCUUUUCGCUUCUUGCAAAAACUCAUGCUUUAUGGAAACUCUGAGUCGAUACAAUUAUUGUUCAUUACUAUACCAGCUGAUAUGGGAUUGAUUGUUUGUCCGACAAACUCAUAAACACACAUGAUUUCAGCUACAGUGACUGGGAAAGCUAAGGAUGUCCUGGGAUCCAACCAGGAGUUCUCGGUGCAUGCUUACACCUUUGCGCUUUAUCAAUAGGGGAAAAACGUCUACUUACUUAGCACCUUUUUCUAUGCGAAGCUGGUGCAGGAGAACUCCGUGGCUAACAUGAGGCACAAGGCGAAUGAUGAUCUGCUUGCAAAAGACAUGUGGUUCAUCCCCAUUAAUACCGGAACGCACUGGUCAGGCCUGGUAAAAGAGCUAUUGAAAAAAGACCUCUACUACAAGCCAACGAUUUUAGUUUAGUUUAGAUUAGUUAUUGUUAUAAAUAUUAUAUUGUUAUUGUAUUAUUAUAUAUAUUUUUUUCAUUGUACCAAGCAAUACAUCGAUCCUUCACUCCUGUACUCUUAAUAUAUCUGACAUUAAGCCACUUAAACCUCCGGCUUUGGCUCUUCCCAUGUAUGUUAUCACCAAGUUUUACCAAUAAAAUUGAUUGAUUGAUUUGA
Long non-coding RNA from Nematostella vectensis (starlet sea anemone), 1167 nucleotides. RefSeq lists it as uncharacterized. NCBI's taxonomy places the organism in Eukaryota, Metazoa, Cnidaria, Anthozoa, Actiniaria, Edwardsiidae. The record is from RefSeq and is a predicted model, not a curated record. The transcript has 2 exons.